Molecule: ribosomal RNA, 500 nt
Filed under: uncultured bacterium
Lineage: Bacteria
Description: partial 16S ribosomal RNA
Rfam family: Bacterial small subunit ribosomal RNA
Source: RNAcentral
AUUGAACGCUGGCGGAAUGCUUUACACAUGCAAGUCGAACGGCAGCAUGGACUUCGGUCUGGUGGCGAGUGGCGAACGGGUGAGUAAUGUAUCGGAACGUGCCCAGUCGUGGGGGAUAACGUAGUGAAAAUUACGCUAAUACCGCAUACGAUCUAUGGAUGAAAGCGGGGGAUCGCAAGACCUCGCGCGAUUGGAGCGGCCGAUAUCAGAUUAGGUAGUUGGUGGGGUAAAGGCCCACCAAGCCAACGAUCUGUAGCUGGUCUGAGAGGACGACCAGCCACACUGGAACUGAGACACGGUCCAGACUCCUACGGGAGGCAGCAGUGGGGAAUUUUGGACAAUGGGCGGAAGCCUGAUCCAGCCAUUCCGCGUGCAGGAUGAAGGCCCUCGGGUUGUAAACUGCUUUUGUACAGAACGAAAAGGUUUCUACUAAUACUAGGAGCUCAUGACGGUACUGUAAGAAUAAGCACCGGCUAACUACGUGCCAGCAGCCGCCGUAA